CACUCACCCUUUAUAUAUUUAUAAACAUUAAUGAGGUCCCCCCUUAGUCUCCUCCAAAGUAAAGAGACCCAGCUCCCUCAGCCUUUCUUCAUAAGGGAGGUGCUCCACUCCCUUAAUCAUCUUUGUUGCCCUGCGCUGGACCCUCUCCAGCAGUUCCCUGUCCUUCUUGAACUGAGGGGCCCAGAACUGGACACAAUAUUCCAGAUGUGGUCUCACCAGGGCGGAGUAGAGGGGAAGGAGGACCUCUCUUGAUCUACUAACCACCCCCCUUGUAAUACACCCCAGGAUGCCAUUGGCCUUCCUGGUCACAAGGGCACAGUGCUGUGGUGUGUUAACAGGACCAGAGCCCACACGUCUAGUGUGGCUAUGUGGGGAAGGAGUUAGGUUUUUACCCUCUAACCAUGUUCAUGGAGUAGUGGAGGAGGGAUUUAAUGUUUGUUUUGUCUUGCAUAGUGGGAGUGAUAUUCACACCUGCAUCUACAAACCUACUGAUAUCAGGCUCAUGGCUGGGAGGCACCUCUCCUCUGGAGCUUCCUAAGGUUUUGAUCAUGGAUGCUUAGGGUUGGGUGGGGUGAAAUCUGUAGCAAAACUAAUCGAUAGUGAUGGGCAUGUGCCUAGCUCCAUUGUCAUCUGCUGCUUUUGGCUCAAGAGCUGUGUCUGGGGUUUCCCUUUCCUCCCUUCCCUUAAUACUGAUACAGAGCUGGUGGUAUAGGACUGGAUUGUGGUCAUUUGUCAGGCCUGCCAAAUGGUGAUGGUGUGACAGGCAGCUCUAGCCUGUGUGGAACCCUGAGGCUCUCUCCAGGUUGAGGAGAGUAAGAAAGUCGUUUAUGGGCCUAACUGACUAGUUUUUCUAAAGGAAAGUAUUUUAAAAAAUUCCCUUGUGGUCAUCACCUGUAUGUCCUUCAGCAUUAUUUUAGGAACACAUUAUCUAUGCUUUUUCAGAGAAGCAGUGCCAGGCUUUCCAGAUGACCUUGCCCGUGCUGUGUUUAUCAAGCUAAGGGAAUUUGGCACCAGAGCUUUCCCUUUGCAUGUUUCACUGUACCAGGAACCCUUGUUUAGUCUAACACCGAAUGCAUGGAAGGUUGGCUCUUGUGCUAAUAAACAUGAAUGUGAAAAGUGUGUGAUGCAAGCAGCCCUCAAUCUGAAUGUGCAUUAAAAAAAGCAUCACAACCGAGAUCUGACUAGGCUUGGAGGGGAUGUGUUUGACCUCUCUCUGUACCACACUUAGGAGGAAACCUCUGCUCAGGAGCUCUGCAGCUGAGGGGGCAGGACGCAUUAUCCUUCUGGUCCCUGCCUUCCUGUUUCGCAAGUGUUUGCUUAUCCAAUCAAAUGAACCCUGAGGUGAGCCAUGAUGAAGGGAAGAUAUCUAUGAGUUGCUGGCUUUUUGCACCCCACCCAGUUCUGGCUCUGUUGGCUUUUGGUCAUUUCCAGCUCCAGUGAGUAAGGCUAUGGUUGACCUCAAACUUCCUCAGAAUUAGGGCUGUGGUUUGGAGAUUACUUGUGAAUCUUCUGAAGUACAGAACCCCAAAUCCAAAUCAAAUAGAUAUUUCCAUAGUGACAUAUGUUCAGUCCUGUAAGAAAGUGAUGAUUUGUUAUGCCUCUGUUUUGUUUUUUCUUCUUGUGACACUCAAGGAACUUUCUACCUGUAAGGUUUAUCAUAAUCUUGACUGUUGUCUGCACACAUCUGAGGUAAUUCAGGAGGGAAGCUACUAAAUGCUUUCGAUGUGCAAGAUAAAAGCUAUCUGCCGCUGAGGAAAUGGCCUUUUAAUUGGAAGGCAGUCAACUAUGUUACCUUGAGUGACAGAUACUGCCUUCUCUUUCUGGCAGUAGAUGAUCUCAUGAAACUUUCAAUUCAAUUUCUGGAGGAUUUUGUGCUUUACAGAGGGAAAAAUAUCCAUGUGAGCUGUUCCUUGUUUGAAAUAGCAGCUCUGGAAAUCUUAUAAUUGAGGGAGAGUUUUCUGGGGAAUUUUUAAAAAGCCUCUUUCAUGAUGGUGAAAAGGAGCUAAAAAAGUAAAUUCUGGAAGCAUAAAUGUGGAAAGCUAAGAAAUAAUCCUGAUUGAAAGAAGAAAAAACCCCACCUAUUAUUUAGGAGUUGGGACUCCCCGGCUUAACAAUAACUUGAAUACAUGGUCUGGCUACUUAGAGCACAUUUGAGUCAUUGAUGUGAGGAUGUGGGCAUUUCAGAAAGGGAGGAAGAGGGAAAUAAAUAUAGUGUUAAAUAAGACGUCUCAUAUGAUCUGCAAUUUGCCCUCCCUUGUAUGAGUCCAGCUGUGUGCAGUCCUGCCAAGGGAGCAAACCUUCAUCUUUAUAUUCAAGAGUUAUGGCCUUGAACAGUGAGAGACCUGAAAAAAAAUCUUUUUCCCAAGAGUCACUUCUAGUAGCUAGCAGUGAGGAUGUAGAGAUCUGCACUUGAAAGUAGAGAGGUAGCAAACUAGUUAAGGUAAUCAGUAAUAUCAAGGCUUUUGCUGUAGGGUAAAUGAUUUCUUUAUUUUUAUUUUAUUUUUUUUUAGAUGAAAAGAGGUAGCUCCUGAAGAAUUUACAUGAUCCUUGCUUAAGAAGUCACCAGAGUAUAGUGAAUUUAACCAUCUGUUGGUUUAACAUCUCUGCUGUGCUACAGCCAUAAAUGCAGAAAAUGUUGUCGAUCCUUUAGGACCAAUCAAGCAUCCUAAAUUACUUAGCUGAAGCUGGGCUCAGAGCUGUGUUAUUGCUCUGUGACAGUGCUCCUCUCUCUCCUGCAGUUGCUUCCAGCUGUCCUUUGAAGAAAAGGAUUUUGGUGCCAUUUCCAAGCUGACAGGCAGCUGAGGUGGCAAAGAAUGUUUCUUUCAAAACAAACCGAAGACCCUAUACUGUUUAUUUUCUUAUUUAUAGUGGGAGUUUUGCACUGUAUUUUAUUAAACAGUCUCUAAAAAACCACUGUUUUUAGUCAGGCGCUUAUGUUAGAUUUUUAAAUGCAGAACUAGAAGUCCUAAAAGAGACUGUUAAAAAAAGAGGGGAAAAAACCCAUGUGGAAUCAAAGUGUUGAGCAGUUCCUGUGUGUCUCCCUGAAGCAAACUUCAGCAGCUGAUGAGCAGUAAGUUUUCUUUUGUUUUUCUAACCGUCAAUGUUGAAAUGCAGAAGCUGACAUUUCAGCUAGGUUUUCUUGCACACAUCCUGAAGAGGGAAAAAAAAAAAAAAGAAAAGAAAUGUCCUUCUUUCUGAAUUAAUUAGUCUCUCUCACAGGUGAGAUGACAGUUGUCGAGGUUUUUGAUUGCGGGGUGACAAUAAAACCCUGGCAGAUGUAUUGUUAACCCCCUCUCCCCCCACUUCCCCCUUUUCAGCCCCCCUCUCCCUCCUUCCCACUCAGGACAGGCGAUUGGGAGGGAAAGGAGGACAGAGAGAAGAGAGCUGGAAAAAUUAAAAAUGUUUUACUAAUGCUACUAAUAAGAAUAGAGAAAAUAAUACAAAAUAUACAAAACCAAUCUUGAAAGUCUCAGCAACUGCAGCACCGGCACCCGAAGUCCUGGAUUGGACUCUGCAGCCAGCCGGAGCUGGAUUCAGUCUGUCACUAGGCCUCAGUUCACAGGGACGACUAGCAAGGUCCUCUCCUAAUGUCGGCCAUAAGCAAAAAGGAAAAAGGGGCGAGAUCCUCGUGAUCUCCCACUUUUAUAUGAAGUAUUCAUGUGAAUGGAAUGUUAUACUCAGUUGGUCAGUUUCUUGGUCACCUGUUUCUUGUUGCCCCUCUCGCAAGAUGUGCAUCAAUUCAUUAUCAAUAACCUUGCAUUCCAUUGUUAUGUUUACCAGAACAUGUAUCUGGUUUUCCAGGAAAAUGCAGCUAAUAUGAAGGCUUUAGCUGACAGGCAAAUUCACUAAAAGAGAAACUUGUUUUUAACAAAACCAGGACACAGUGGAAUUCCGCAUGCUGUGAAUAACGGUACUGCAACCUACUCCUUGAAAAUGUGAGAUUUAAAAAGUCUCACUCCUAUUACUAUGUUUGAUCUUCAGCUCCAAGAGGAGAAGUAGGAGAAUCUCCUGUUGAUUAGGCAGUGGCUCUGGACACUCACAGAAAAAAAAAAAAAAAAAAUUAAAAUAAACAGGUAACUUCAUAUAGAGAUUUACUCUGUGAGGUAAAGCUUCCACUCAAAAUGGCAUAGGGAACUUACGAAAUUAUUUCAUAUGAAAGAAGCUGUUAGGCUGAAGCUAAAAUCCAUGGCCAAAAUGUGUUUGUUCUGUUUUAAUGAGUUAAGUACCUGACAACAUGAAAUGAACAGCCGAUAUGUUUCUGAUUGGGACUGAACACUUCUGCCCCCUACACACUGUAGUUCUAGGAGUUACUUCUGAUGAAGUAGUUGCUCUAACUUAAAAUUGCUUCCAAAACAGCACACCAUGUGCCAACUGCUUUAGAUGUGAAUCUGAUUGUCAGCUCUGGAGCUGAUGUAAAAUAAAAUUUGCCUGUGGAAAUGGUGUCUGUUUCACUUUAAUGCUUUUAUUUUCACCAAUAUGGACUUGAUUACUGAUGGGGGGUGAAAUGUAUUAAGUGUUUAUGGAGAUGUUUCUUUCUGACAGAUCACUAGAAAAAGCCUCAAACGAAAUUAAUCUUGCCCUGCUUCUUUCAGUGUCUUUAAACUAAGGAGGGAAGGAAAUAUAUAAAUAUAUAUAUAUAUAUAUAAUUUUUUUUACCUCUUGUGAGAAGUUUUAAAACAAUUGUGAAUCCUUGCAGCAACUCAAAUGCUGGAACUGGGCUGCUAUCUAUAAAAGAGACUUGAAUUGCAUGUCCUCGAUUUGUCUUUGCAGCACUACUCUAGCUAAAGUUUAUCUUCUGUCCAAAUGUGACACAUUGAUGUGCCCUGCUUGGUUGCACAUUUAUUUACAUUUGCAUGCGUUCUAUAGCAAUUCGCUGCUUCUCUCUUUUCUCUCUCCCUUCCCCCUUUCUUUUCUUUCAGUGUUUCAGCUCCUGGAAUCAUCUGCUUCCUGUCCAAAACUCACAGAGCAAACUUCUGCAAAGCAUGCUGAUAGAAACUGGUAUCUAAAAAUGACGUGGGUCUGCUACCUUCCCAACUAUUACAGCUUUGAGAGCACAAAACUUCCAAAUUAGCUGAUCUGAUAGAGCAUUGCCAUUUUUCAACUGUUUUUGCUGCGUGUCAAGUCUUGACCCUGAGCCAGCCUGAACUGGCAGCAGAUCUCUGGAAUAAGGCAUGGGGAAAGCAGCAAAACAGCCAUUUAUCUUUGAAACAAAAGACCUCAAGGUGGAAUGUUCAAUUCUCUUGUCAUUUAGCCUGGUGUAAAGCAGGUACAACUCCUCUGAAAUGGAGAAAAGAACUGCAGGAAAGAACAAUGAAGCUCUUGAACCAUAUGCUUUGGCAAAAGUUAAAUGUCAAUUUUGUAUGCUACAGAAUGAUCUGCUUCACUGAGUGGGAGGGAAGAAAGAUGAGAAACAAACUUGCAUCCCUUAGAAGGCUUUUUAAAAGAUUUAUUUGGUUUUAUUUAAGGUGUAUGUUCCCUACACUGUAGGCAUAAUUUGGUGAGAGCUUCUCUAGAUUUCUGAUGAUAAUGCCGCCAGAGUAGAGAUAAUGCUAUUCAAUUCUCUUGAUCGCAGGAUUUCUUGUCCUAAAAAAGUGAUAGACUUCAAUAACUUGCAGAGUGGCAUUUAUACGUUUUGCAAGUGAGCUUAGAUCAGCUUUUCAGCCCUUCUAUUCUAAUAGCAAUCCCAAGUAAUUAUUAACUUAGUGAUGUUUUGCUGUCUCACUGCCGGUGUGAGAUCAGAACUGGUGCUUAAAACUUUCCUGUGUUCAGAAGAAAAACAAUUUUGAAACAAUCUGAUCGUGGUUGUCAGUAUGUACAAUGUGGAAGUGAGAAAAUGCUGAGGAAGUAAAAUGAGCUGUUGAAUGACACAGAUCUCGUCAGCUCUUAAAGGGAAACUCUGAGAUUUCAAAAGAGCUGUUUUGAGCAGCUGGUGACUCAGAGUAGUAUCUGUGACACACAAGCCAUCUAGCAUAAGCUAAUAUGGGAAUGGAUCCUAUACUUAUACAACUUGUUAUCAAGCAAAACUCCUACUGAAGGUUAAAAAAAAGGAAAAAUUGUUUUCUCUUAUUCUGCAGUGGGACUUGAACAUGACCUCUCUGCCAGCAGGGGAAACGAGUGAUAUCACAGACAAGAGAAAACAUAGUAUGUUUUCUUUAAGAAAUAUUUAGCUCGCAAACCAGAAAAACCUCUGUUUGAAAAUUUGGCACCACACCUUAGGGCAUCUCAAAACAUACCAGCAAGCAUAUCAGCAGCUUCCUGUUGCUGGCAGUACUGUCUAAGCAUACCCUAACAGUAUGGAGAGAUCUGGAAAGCAUGCAACAGCCUCUUCAGAAAGCACUUCGCCUGGGAACAAUCGCAUCCUAUUGCUCCUACAAAGGAGAGGACUACGAGAGCAAUUUGUCUUUAGAAAUUCUGUUGGUGUGGCAAGAAAUGGAAUAUUAUUUCUUCCUGCUAAAAACAGGACACUCCAUUUUAAAAAAGCUGCAAUUAAAUAGCCCAGGAAAUGCCGGACCAGAAGAGAUGGCUUGUCAUAGCAUAUAAAACAUGCCACAAUGCUAUCCCAUAAGGAACACCGAUACUCCUGCUGAGUGUGAGGUGGAUGAGGUUCAAAAGAGAUACACAUUAAAACAUAGCACUUAAAAUAAAACGUGUUAAAAUGAAAAGAUGGCAUGGGAAGAAUCCAGUUCUGGAAAAGCCUUCAGAGUGCAGAUAAUAGUUUGGUUCAUCUCUCUGAGAAUAAACAACUUCUAUGUAUGUGUUUUUGCUGAAGCCUUUGAAAUCAGGUUAUUUUUGGAAAGUAUCUAUUUAAAGAGAUCUGUGUAGGCCAAAUAAACUCACUUCUUACUAAUUUUGUAACAGCUUUACUGGGACUUGAUCCUGUGGUGAAAAAUACAUGGCUUCCUCAUGGUAAGUUUGUAAAGAAACAGAGGCACUGGAAAUAAGGGGGACAACAUCACUCUCUGAAAGUUAUAGAUUAAAACUGGAGAGAUUUGGUCUUCUGUCCCCUCCUGGCUUGCAUUGUGGCCAGUUGAAGUACCUCAUCUGUACUGGGACUGAGCUAGUUGUCAGCUCUGUCCCUUUUUAUGUCCCACGCUGAAAGCUUGCCACCUUUCAGUGCUGAGGGGUCUUCCUCAAGCAACUGCACCAGUGUGCUUUUAGGUGCAGUGGGUGGACACAGGCUUGAGGGGUGUUAGUUUGAAACCUGCUAUUGCUGUACUGUCAACUUUUUUUAAAGAAAGCUGUGUUACUUAAAAACCUGCUUCAAGAAUUUAUUUGCAGGCAUGUUUGGUAACACGCUUGCUCCCUCUCUGCCCAACUCGAGCCUAGGAAAUUGUGUUCAAGCUUGCAACCGCAUGCAGAGUGUCUCAGAAGUAGAACAUCAGUAUUGCUUUACUGGCUGGAGUUCUCUGACAAGUCAGGUGGCAAGAUGCACCUCAAGUCAGAACUAGAAGCAGGAUUUGUAUGUUAAUAUCAAAUUUGGAAAUAACCAGGUAGAUACGCUGCUGAUGCAAACAGAUACAGCUGUAUUAUACAGCCUGGUGCUGUUCUAUGGCAUUGUGUGGAUUUAAUAAGCUUUGUUAGAGAGCUGCAAAACGCCCGUAAAACUCAUGCCAGUGGUGUUUUGAGGUCUGCAGUAAUAAGGUGUGCCAUCAUUGGGAUGGAAGAGAACUGCAGCAGGGAAGAUACUCAGGUCUGACCUCUGGCUAUCUUAAUACUAUUGUCCCUGGAGGUGGUCAAUGGGAUUUAUUGCUUGUGUCAGGAAACAGCAUCAACUGUAAAGCGGGAACUAAGCCUUAGGCUCACAUGGCAGUGUGCUUUGGCUGCGAAGUGGCUUCUCUGCCUUUGUCACUUCCAGUGCCCUCAAAUGCAGAGGGAAUGCUCUUCCCUAUCUUCCCCUGAACACUGUUUUCCUCAAAGUCCUGCAAAGCCCAAGAGCACCUAUAUCAUCCCUCUGAUACAGUGCGGUAUGAACAGCUUUCCCCUCGUUUUAGCCCACAUAUUUAGUGCAAGUGACUUGGACUGAAUUCUUAGAAGACCUGAGAUGAAGUUGUGGAAUUAUUAAUUCUGAUAACCCCAUGAACUUCUUUACUUUCAAAUGCGAGGCUGCUGUCUUCAGCUGUUGAUAGAACGUCUUCAUGAACCGUGUGCUUUCCCAAUAUGAGAAAUUAUGCUAUGGGAAUGAUAAACCAAGACAGCUGUUAUAAUUGCUUCCUGUAGUAUUAAGCUGUUCUUUGUACUUUUGUUUUAGUGUUUGUGCAUGUUUUUGUCCGCAGUUGCUAACAUAGACUGGUGUAUGAGGUUACAAAUCAAAUGGCUGGAAUUAUAUUUGUGAACAUGACUUGAUUCUCCACUUGAGCUGGCAGUGGAGGAAGAGAGGAAGUUCAAGCUGUGCUGUCUGGUUACAACAUUGUAAACCUGGAUGGGCAAUGGGAGCUUUGCUUGUCACUAGGAUAGCAAUCAUGGAAACAAAAACCAGUAUAACAGAAGCUAGCCUGUGCAUUAAUACCAGCUGAGAGAGACACUAGAGCCUUCAGUCUUCAUUCUUCAAAGUAUAAGUGGUUCACAGGAGGUCAAGUAGUAAUCCGUCUUAAAAUAAUGCUGCACAUUUGCCUCCUUUAUGCAGACUUGAAACCUUUUAGCUUUCUGUCAAUUAAAAGCAGACUCUUAGACAAGUUAUUGUUGAGGUAAAUGACAGAAUAAAGUUCAUUGAAUUGCAGGGAAAGGAUGAUGCAAGCUCAACCUCUCCUGAAAAAACAACAAAAAAUAAUUGAUUCAUUACAGAUACUUAUUGAGGGAAUUAUGAUAGUCAACAGUCAAAUUCCCACUGGGUCCUGCAGCUGUAAUAUAAUUAUAUAUACUACUUGGGAGUGAAAAGCCCAAGAAAUGAUAAUGCCAAGUUGAGUCUGCCGCCUUAAGCCUGUUCUUUUGUGGAUUAGUGUGUCUUUAAUAAUGUGACAUAUUAUUUCUCACUUAGACUACAUUGGGCAAUCUUAAAUAUGCUGUGUGUUCUGUACUUCAAAGAACAUCAACCAUCCUUUAUCUACCUCACCAAUGACAGGCAAGCUUGUAUCUUGCUUUUAAUGAUGCUGCACAUGCAUUUUUCCAGAGACGAAGUGUGUUUGGGGAAGAACUGUAGAGCACAGCUCAGCAGAAGAGUUGUGCUCUCAUCAGAUUGGGGUGUUGUGGUGGUUGUUUAUCAGGCUGGUACUCUGUGGCAUGAUUUUUACCUUCUUACAGGCUUCAGCUGUAGAAUGCUAAUAUAAAGACCACUUCCUUCCAACUCUGUUAAAUGCUGAGUUGCGUCUCUUUUGCCCAGGAACACAGGGCAGAAUGACCAUGUGUGAUCUGUUUCAUUGGAAUGGAUGGGUGUUCUACAUGCUCUGGCCCUCAGCAUGGGGAGGCCCCCCUGUCGUAUUUGCUUCUCAGUUAUUGCCAUGGUUCUGUCUCCGCUGAUGCCCUUCAGAAUGCCCAGGCUCAACAUUAGUGUACUGGAAUAUUUCAAUACCUGCAGAUAUAUGUGAUCAUCAGGGAUGAUGAGGCACAUCAGAGGAUAAGCUGCACUCCAGACAGGGUAUAAACUGGUUCUGAAGGAUACACUGGCUUUCCUCACUGUACAUAAAUGAUGCUGAUGAAUUCAGACAGCAGUUUGGUGCUGUGGUAAAAGACUAGGAUGAAACUUGUGGGCAAAUGGUGCUUUCUGUGCUUUUGCAGAAAUCAGUGCAACCCCUUUCGGUCUUCUGCUAUUGAUUAGCGGCAUUAGUAUUUCCAAAUUGCAAAACAACACUUAGGGGUUCAUUUGUCUCCAAGUUAGUCAACUUACCUCAUUUUAGGUGAGCAGUGAUUUCAUCUGAUGAUAGAAUGUAGCUUUGAACCUCAGACAUCAUUACAGAGAAAAAGAAGAAAACCUGUACUGCAGUUAACUGUCCUCAAUGUUUUUCUGUCAUGCAGGUUUUUAUUAUAUGCUGGUAUUGACUUCUGUCCUAAACACGGACACAUCGUUGUUAAAAAAAGGGCAUCAUAAUGUGCUUUUCUGGUAGACAUGGGUGCCUUCAGUAGCAAGCCUAUGCUAAGACAAUCUAGGCUGGCUAUUCUUCAAGAUCCUAAAGUGUUUUAUAUUUGAAAGCAUACUGUUCACAAAUGGAAGCAGAAAUCACCUUAUGCAUGCUAAGGCUGGGGCUUGAAAAUGCUUUUGGAAACAGCUCUUCCUGAAUCAAUGGAUCCAAACUAAAUGAAGCACAACUGUGACAUUUUUUUCCCAUUUUUCAAAGUAUCUAAUGUAACAAAGCUUGGAAAACAAUAACACUUUGUUUACCACAAUAGAACAUAAAUCCCUCCCAACAGGUUUUGCUUUUAAAUAAAUGGACCACUUUGGGGGAAAACGUUUACAUCUCAUUACUGUUAAAAAUUCUAGCACACAUGGAGACGUCUUCUGGAGAUAGAUGUGCUGUUUAGGUAAAUUAGAGUAUUCCUAUAACUAUAUUAGAAUAUAUUGUUGCAUGAAGUAUCAUUUGGUAAUGAGCACUGAUUCAUCUGGACUUUGAAAGGGAACCAUACCAGAUCCUAAAAAGGGGAAAAUAAACAAUCUGUAUGACAAUAAUGAAGACACUUUUCUCAUUACCAGGAACAAAGCACUAAAGUUAAUAGUGCUCAUCAAUUAAUGGUUCAUUUAUCAAGCUGCUUGAGGUAAUUGUGACUCUUCUCAUUAUCAGAAUAAAUGUCUCCUUUGCAUAUACCUAAGCUCUUUAUUUCCACAACCUUAGUGGUGGAGAGUUCCACAGGUUAGUCCAGUAUUAUAUACUGUGCUGGUUUGACUGAAAAUGGGUUAAUUUUCUUCAUGCAGUUAGAAACCUUUCUUUUUCAUAGCUAGCAUGCUCAUUAUUUGGACUUAGUUUGAGAAUAGGCAGAUAACACCCCAGCACAGAGUUAAUGUUUUUAAUUGCUCUGGUCUGAGAGCCAAGGACAUUCUGAGUGCUCUGCCCACAGGUGUGAGGCAUCGAGGAAGGGAGGUGUGGCAGAGAUAGGGCAGAGCUUGACAGACAUUCAGAUUGAUCAAUAAGAGCAUUCCAUCCCAUUAGUGUCAUGCUAAUUAUAUAAGGAUAGCUGGGAUCUUAUAGUUUGCUCUUUCAUUUUGUCCUGCUUGUUCUUGCUGUUGAGCUGGGGGAGUUUUGGUUGGGAUGUUUAGACCAGCCUGUUGCUAUUUUGCAGAGACCUCUGGGCUUUUCUGUCCUUUUCCUCCCUUUUCUCUCUCUGGGACUGGUUUUAGGACCAGGUGUGGCUUGCUGGGACUGGCUGCUCAGUCAUGGACACAGUUUGUGAUGAAUUCCCUUGAGUAUCUUUUAUUUCUGUUUUAUAUAUAUUUACUAGUAGUGUAGUAGUAUUUUGUUAUUUUAUUAAACUGUGUUUAUCUCAAUCUAAGUUUCUCCCUUUCCUUUUGAUUCUCUCCCCUGUUGGCGGGGGGGGGGGCGGGUAGGAGGCGGGAGAGCAAGUGGCUAUCAUGGUUGUAUUGCUAGCUCAGGUUAAACCAUGACAUACACAUACAUAAUAUUAUUUCUAUCUCUAUUUUUGUAUGUCUGCUGUUGUAUAUUUACAUUUUUCCACAAGCAGUUCAAACUGUCUGCUUUGGGGUUUAAUUCACUACCUUGUUUUUGGAAUGCAAAUAUAGAGCAUGCUAAACAAAUGUCCUUAUAUUAUUCUUUUAUAUACCAAUACUAGGUUUAUAGCAUUAUCAACAUUAUGCAGUCCAGUCUCCCCUAACUUUCCUCACAUAGUCUUUCCCUGGUGUUUCUUAUAGUAACACUAACAGAUAUUAGUGAUGGACAUAGUUGCUUUAGAUUUGGAUGUGGCCUUUUUACUGAUUUAUUUUCUAGAUACUUGAGUGGUAGCAGGGUAGUGACAAAUAAACACGAAUGCCACACUACUCUCUGGGUAUACCCACUGCUCACAGGGAACAGGGGGAAAUGAUCGCUUUGAUCACAGAUGAAAUACUUGAGCAAAGUUGGAAUGAAGACUUUGCCUUGACUGAUUGAAUUAAAUUACUUUAAAAACUGCUUAAGCAAUGUGCGUGCUGCAGUGAUUUAAUUAAGCUCAUAUCUAAAUCAGUGCUGCUACAUGGGAGUGAAUGUGAGCACCCUGAAUUUAAUCACUACUGCCACUGGUGAAUGUUUGAUAUAUCAGCUAAUGUGAAUUAAGUAAAGAGUCUUUAUCAUGGCUGGAUAUUACUGUCAAACCUGGGCUUGGUGCAAUGCAUAGUUGGGCUGUCCCUAAAAAUCAACAUUAAAGACCCAGCAGGAGUCAAGAGGUUCCCUUUGCUCCCACAGGGUAAACAGCUGUUGCCAAGCCUUGAUCCCUUCUCUUCUGAUGCUUCUCGGGCACUGUAUGUGUGGAGGGGCACAGUCAACACUGAAGUGGCUCUGUUAUCCUGUGCACUAGCCCCCUGUUCAUGUUGAUGAGGAAAAGACUUGUAGCCUGAUGGAAGCUACUUUUGCCACUGGGAUUACUAAACUCAGUGUGGAGUCCUAGCUAGAGCACCUAAUUACAAAUGAUAAUUAGAACUAACCUCCUGGGCUGGCUGACAUCUUCUUGUCUGAUCCUGUGUUUUCACGAACUGUCGCAAGUUCACAGCCUUUUAACUGUGAAGAAAAUGAACUAGAGAUGACGCAGUAUCUUCAGGAGGCAGGAGGUCUGGAGUAGUGAUGUUGCAGAAACUGUCAUAAUGCUUAUCAGUUUCAGACAAUUCUGGCUGUAAGUCUUAGGGCACAAAAAAAUGUAGAACUUAAAUGCUAAAAACCUGCGCCUGGUCUGUUUGAAGGUCUAGAUGUGAGUAGGAAUUGCUUAUGAAUGAAGAAUCACUCACUGCUGAAGAGCCAGGCUCUGGUGGUUGCAGUCUAAAGUGCUCAUGUAUUUUUGUUUCUGCUCUUGUCAGCAAUAACUGUGUUUACGUGGGCAGUACCCAGGUUUUGUUCUUGCCUCAUCAGAUUGCUGUUACUCAUUCUCCUCUCAAGGACCCUGCAAGUCUUCAUUCAUCACUGUAUGGGAUUUGUGCAAGAAUGGUGAGGAGGUUAAAUGUAAAUACGCUCAAGUGACUUGCAGCUGUGGUGUCGAAAAAGCACAUACAUCACACUAAUUGUUUUACUGAGCUCGUAUGCUUGACAAGUAGAACCUCUCUGUUAGAUAACAUAGGCAUGAGAGAAACUCUAAGGCACCUUAUUGUUGUGCCUGAGAUUCCUGCUUUGUUAUGAGAAAGACCACAAGGCUGUGCCUGCUUGAAGCCUUGAAAUACAGGCGAAUGCAGCAGACCCAGUGAUCUUCUACCAGGGCUGAAAUGCUGCAGUGCCUGCGUCCCCACUUGUGAAAACUCUGCAUAGGAACUUAGGCGCUGUUUUGGAGAUCCCUCAGUAGAGAGGUAACUAAAAUAAAACCUGCUCUUUGCAAAUGCAUUUGUGGCCUCUGGCUCUUCUUGCAAUGUGCCUGCAUUGGUUCACACAAUCACCCUUGUAAGGACUGAAACUACUAUUUGAUGACAUUCCAAUGAAACAAUAAUGACUAGGUAUAGGCGUUUCCUAGAGACUAAUAAAAAGCUGGAAGGAAGGGAAGGGUCAGGACCGUGCAGAGAAAUUGCUAUUGCAAGCUGGGAAAAAGCAAGGGGAAAAAAAUGCAGGAAGGAUUCUUUUAAAAUGGAUUACACAAUUUUAUUGGCAUUGGAAAGCCAAUGCAUGCUCUGAAAAGAAUGCAUGUCCUGAGAGCUUGUCAGAUUGUUUCAAUCUUAUCUCAACAUCCAAGCCAGCUUAAAAAGUGAACUUGACAAACAUUUUAUGCUUUUGCUGAGUUUAGCUCACAGUCCCUCCUUCCAAGCAUAUCCUGUCACAAAUCUUCAUGUAUAGGCCUGUGUUGUUUUUUUCUGCGGCAAAAAUUGUCUUUCCUUCUGCUGUUAAAACUAGCUUUCAUGUGUUUUGGAAGCUAACCUGUACGACUUAACAAUCAAAAUGUGAAUCGCUUACCCAGUGAAGUCAACACCACAGCAGUCAGAAGGCCCCUUCCAACCAAGCAUAGAGGAACAUGCUGCAGGCUGGAGCCAUUAGUUGUUAAGUUCUGUGCCGUCUUUGUUAGGUAUCACAAUAAAUUCAGUCUGGUUUGUGUUUCCUUGUCCUGAAAGCAAAUGAAGAAAUACAGAGUUGAGAAGAAUCUACUUAGCUCUUCUAGCACCACGCACUGAGGAGCAUCAUGUGUAUUUACAACUCAAGUUUAAUAUCUUCUGAACUGAUACUUGUCUAUUUACCCUUUAAAACAAACAAACCAAACAAAACCAACAAAAACCAACCAACCAAAAAAGUUUAAAAAUUCUGUGGCCUCUUUGAUAGGAGUACUGUGUUUAAUGAGGACACUUUUUCUAAUCUU
Columba livia (rock pigeon) is the source of this 14394-nucleotide long non-coding RNA. RefSeq lists it as uncharacterized. NCBI's taxonomy places the organism in Eukaryota, Metazoa, Chordata, Aves, Columbiformes, Columbidae. The record is from RefSeq and is a predicted model, not a curated record. The transcript has 3 exons.